Long non-coding RNA from Malaclemys terrapin pileata, 932 nucleotides. RefSeq lists it as uncharacterized. The record is from RefSeq and is a predicted model, not a curated record. The transcript is spliced from 2 exons. NCBI's taxonomy places the organism in Eukaryota, Metazoa, Chordata, Testudines, Emydidae.
ACACAGGUGAGAAACCGUAUGGAUGCUCUGAGUGCGGGAAAAGCUUCAAUCACAGCUCUGCCCUGAACACACACAGGAAAAUCCACACAGAAACACACCUCAUGCUACGACCAAGGCAUCCCCAGCCUUUCUAAUGAUGGGAUGACAGCUGCACACUUGCUUUGAUCUGCUGAAUCUGUCUGAACCCCAACAAAUUGUGGGACGUCAGCAGCAAUAUCAAGUCAUCAGAUGGGCACCCAGAGCAAAAGACCGAACCUUUAGCUCGGGUCAGCCGGUUUUGGCUCGGAAUUAUACUUCUGGAGCUAAAUGGGUCCCCGCCAUGAUCAUUGCUCAAACAGGACCUGUUUCCUACACAGUCCAGACUGCAGAGAAUCUCACCUCAAGUCCUCAAGACACAUCUUCAGUUGAGUUGUCUGACUUCACCUCUUCUGGCGAGACACCAAAUCAAGAAUCACCUGUUCCUGACUGUUCUCCUCCAUUACUGCUGGCAGCUGAGAUACCCCCUUGCCAAGCUGACACCACUUCCUCAUCCGUUCACGCUAUGAACCCUGAGCCCAUUGUCAGGGCCUGCGCCCAAGGUACUUUCGGGUGCAACAACACCAGAAGUUCGCCGUAAUCCACCUAGAGACAAAAGAUCUCCUCAAUAGCUGGAUUUUAGCUAGGGCGAACCCACGGUUAUGGGGCAAAAUAAUCCCCGGGGUUUAGCCGGGAAUGGAGGCAGUCUACCCUCAUUCUCUAGUUUAGUGUUUGUUUUAUUUAGGGGAUGUUCUUAUUAAGGGGGGAGGAAUAUGUUGUGUAUGUGGUUGUCGUGGUAAUAGCACCUUGUUGUUGCUAUGGCAACUGAGUUAGAUUAUUAGGGGAUAGCCCAGCCAGCUUUGGCUGGUUUUGGUUAGUUCAGUGUGUGAAAAUAAAUGGUUGCUUUUUAAGGCUUA